Molecule: ribosomal RNA, 253 nt
Filed under: uncultured bacterium
Lineage: Bacteria
Description: partial 16S ribosomal RNA
Rfam family: Bacterial small subunit ribosomal RNA
Source: RNAcentral
UACGGAGGGUGCGAGCGUUAAUCGGAAUUACUGGGCGUAAAGCGCGCGUAGGCGGUUUGGUAAGCUGGAUGUGAAAGCCCUGGGCUCAACCUGGGAACUGCAUCCAGAACUGCCAAGCUAGAGUAUGGUAGAGGACAGUGGAAUUUCCGGUGUAGCGGUGAAAUGCGUAGAGAUCGGAAGGAACACCAGUGGCGAAGGCGACUGUCUGGACCAAUACUGACGCUGAGGUGCGAAAGCGUGGGGAGCAAACAGG